UAGGGAAUCUUCCGCAAUGGACGCAAGUCUGACGGAGCAACGCCGCGUGAGUGAAGAAGGAUUUCGGUUCGUAAAACUCUGUUGUUAGAGAAGAACAGCGCAUAGAGUAACUGUUAUGCGUGUGACGGUAUCUAACCAGAAAGGCACGGCUAACUACGUGCCAGCAGCCGCGGUAAUACGUAGGUGGCAAGCGUUGUCCGGAUUUAUUGGGCGUAAAGCGAGCGCAGGCGGUCAAUUAAGUCUGAUGUGAAAGCCCCCGGCUCAACCGGGGAGGGUCAUUGGAAACUGGUUGACUUGAGUGCAGAAGAGGAGAGUGGAAUUCCAUGUGUAGCGGUGAAAUGCGUAGAUAUAUGGAGGAACACCAGUGGCGAAGGCGACUCUCUGGUCUGUAACUGACGCUGAGGCUCGAAAGCGUGGGUAGCAAACAGG
RNAcentral lists this ribosomal RNA (429 nucleotides) under Bacteroidota bacterium. Its description in RNAcentral is "Bacteroidetes bacterium partial 16S ribosomal RNA". It matches the Rfam family "Bacterial small subunit ribosomal RNA", at positions 355 to 776 of the family's 1533-position model. Lineage: Bacteria; Pseudomonadati; Bacteroidota. The record is from RNAcentral.